AAGGGUAUAGCUCAGUGGUAGAGUGCGUGCUUAGCAUGCAUGAGGUCCUGGGUUCAAUCCCUAGUACCUCCA
This 72-nucleotide transfer RNA is filed under the name Camelus bactrianus (Bactrian camel). It matches the Rfam family "tRNA". From Rfam's summary of the family: Transfer RNA (tRNA) molecules are approximately 80 nucleotides in length. The record is from Rfam by way of RNAcentral. Lineage: Eukaryota; Metazoa; Chordata; Mammalia; Artiodactyla; Camelidae. RNAcentral also lists the same sequence under 3 other names.